This 499-nucleotide ribosomal RNA is filed under the name uncultured bacterium. Its description in RNAcentral is "bacterial SSU rRNA". It matches the Rfam family "Bacterial small subunit ribosomal RNA", at positions 35 to 507 of the family's 1533-position model. The record is from RNAcentral.
AACGGCUGGCGGCGUGCCUAACACAUGCAAGUCGAACGGAUUGAAGGGGCUUGCUCCUUCAGUUAGUGGCGCACGGGUGAGUAACGCGUAGAUAAUCUGCCUGAUGAUCCGGGAUAACAGUUCGAAAGGACUGCUAAUACCGGAUAAGCCCACGUGGUCUUUGGACCGUGCGGGAAAAGGGGGGGGACCUUCGGGCCUUCUGUCAUCAGAUGAGUCUGCGUACCAUUAGCUAGUUGGUAGGGUAAAGGCCUACCAAGGCUACGAUGGUUAGCUGGUCUGAGAGGACGACCAGCCACACUGGGACUGAGACACGGCCCAGACUCCUACGGGAGGCAGCAGUGGGGAAUUUUGGACAAUGGGCGAAAGCCUGAUCCAGCCAUGCCGCGUGAGUGAAGAAGGCCUUCGGGUUGUAAAGCUCUUUCGGCUGGGAAGAAAUCGCACAGGCUAAUACUCUGUGUGGAUGACGGUACCAGCACAAGAAGCACCGGCUAACUACGUG